GCGCCGCCAGCAGGAAAUGUAGCUGCACUUGAAAUGCUGGUUUGAAGAAGGAUGCACAGCAUCACAGCUACGGCAAUCACUCUUUUCCCUCCUGACAUUUUUUUAAGAAUUAAUAUAUAAAAGAAAGGCUCUUAGUGUUAAUGUGCCAAUUGAGUAUGAUUUUAGACCCUUUUAUAGGGAACUUCUUGUACCAUUUGACUCACUAUUCAUUGGAUUUGGAAUAUUUACUGUUUUAC
This 236-nucleotide long non-coding RNA is filed under the name Nicotiana benthamiana. Its description in RNAcentral is "long non-coding RNA (NBEN_LNC002481)". Lineage: Eukaryota; Viridiplantae; Streptophyta; Magnoliopsida; Solanales; Solanaceae. The record is from RNAcentral.